UACGGAGGGUGCGAGCGUUGUCCGGAAUCAUUGGGCGUAAAGGGCGCGUAGGUGGCCCCUCAAGCGUGCGGUGAAAGUCAGGGGCUCAACCCCUGAUCGGCCGUGCGAACUGGGGAGCUUGAGCACUGUAGAGGCAGGCGGAAUUCCGGGUGUAGCGGUGGAAUGCGUAGAGAUCCGGAAGAACACCGGUGGCGAAGGCGGUCUGCUGGGGUAAUGCUGACACUGAUGCGCGACAGCGUGGGGAGCAAACAGG
Molecule: ribosomal RNA, 253 nt
Filed under: uncultured bacterium
Lineage: Bacteria
Description: partial 16S ribosomal RNA
Rfam family: Bacterial small subunit ribosomal RNA
Source: RNAcentral